AUACGGAGGAUCCGAGCGUUAUCCGGAUUUAUUGGGUUUAAAGGGUGCGUAGGCGGCCUUUUAAGUCAGCGGUGAAAGUCUGUGGCUCAACCAUAGAAUUGCCGUUGAAACUGGGGGGCUUGAGUAUGUUUGAGGCAGGCGGAAUGCGUGGUGUAGCGGUGAAAUGCAUAGAUAUCACGCAGAACCCCGAUUGCGAAGGCAGCCUGCCAAGCCAUGACUGACGCUGAUGCACGAAAGCGUGGGGAUCAAACAGGAUUAGAUACCCUGGUAGUCCACGCAGUAAACGAUGAUCACUAGCUGUUUGCGAUACACUGUAAGCGGCACAGCGAAAGCGUUAAGUGAUCCACCUGGGGAGUACGCCGGCAACGGUGAAACUCAAAUGAAUUGACGGGG
This 393-nucleotide ribosomal RNA is filed under the name uncultured bacterium. RNAcentral's name for it is "partial 16S ribosomal RNA". It matches the Rfam family "Bacterial small subunit ribosomal RNA", at positions 523 to 918 of the family's 1533-position model. The record is from RNAcentral.